UGGGGAAUUUUGGACAAUGGGCGCAAGCCUGAUCCAGCAAUGCCGCGUGCAGGAUGAAGGCCUUCGGGUUGUAAACUGCUUUUGUACGGAACGAAACGGUCCUUUCUAAUAAAGGGGGCUAAUGACGGUACCGUAAGAAUAAGCACCGGCUAACUACGUGCCAGCAGCCGCGGUAAUACGUAGGGUGCGAGCGUUAAUCGGAAUUACUGGGCGUAAAGCGUGCGCAGGCGGUGAUGUAAGACAGAUGUGAAAUCCCCGGGCUCAACCUGGGACCUGCAUUUGUGACUGCAUCGCUAGAGUACGGCAGAGGGGGAUGGAAUUCCGCGUGUAGCAGUGAAAUGCGUAGAUAUGCGGAGGAACACCGAUGGCGAAGGCAAUCCCCUGGGCCUGUACUGACGCUCAUGCACGAAAGCGUGGGGAGCAAACAGG
This 429-nucleotide ribosomal RNA is filed under the name uncultured bacterium. RNAcentral's name for it is "bacterial SSU rRNA". It matches the Rfam family "Bacterial small subunit ribosomal RNA", at positions 355 to 776 of the family's 1533-position model. The record is from RNAcentral.